This 441-nucleotide ribosomal RNA is filed under the name uncultured bacterium. RNAcentral describes it as "partial 16S ribosomal RNA". It matches the Rfam family "Bacterial small subunit ribosomal RNA", at positions 338 to 795 of the family's 1533-position model. The record is from RNAcentral.
CCUACGGGUGGCUGCAGUGGGGAAUAUUGCACAAUGGGGGAAACCCUGAUGCAGCGACGCCGCGGGAGUGAAGAAGGAGUUAGGGAGGGAAAGCUCUAGCAGCAGGGAAGAAGAAAGACGGUACCUGACUAAGAAGCCCCGGCUAACUACGUGCCAGCAGCCGCGGUAAUACGGAGGGGGCAAGCGUUAUCCGGAUUUACUGGGUGUAAAGGGAGCGUAGACGGCUGUGCACGUCUGAGGUGAAAGCCCAGGGCUCAACCCUGGGACUGCUUUGGAAACUGUGGAGCUAGAGUGCUGGAGAGGUAAGUGGAAUUCCUGGUGUAGCGGUGAAAUGCGUAGAUAUUAGGAGGAACACCAGUGGCGAAGGCGGCUUACUGGACAGUAACUGACGUUGAGGCUCGAAAGCGUGGGGAGCAAACAGGAUUAGAUACCCCAGUAGUC